AGCUUUGUGCAGUGGCAUUGUUGUAGCCAAUGAGGUUUAUCCAGGGCACGAUUAUUGCUAAUUGAAAAAAAAGAGAGAACAAGAUGCCAUGCUAACACCAAUCAG
This 105-nucleotide small nuclear RNA is filed under the name Canis lupus dingo (dingo). RNAcentral's name for it is "U4 spliceosomal RNA (ENSCAFG00020003828.1)". The stretch from base 1 to 73 matches the Rfam family "U4 spliceosomal RNA". From Rfam's summary of the family: U4 small nuclear RNA (U4 snRNA) is a component of the major U2-dependent spliceosome. The structure of U4 snRNA from yeast and human has been reported. Lineage: Eukaryota; Metazoa; Chordata; Mammalia; Carnivora; Canidae. The record is from RNAcentral.